This 20-nucleotide non-coding RNA is filed under the name Arabidopsis thaliana (thale cress). The record is from RNAcentral. Lineage: Eukaryota; Viridiplantae; Streptophyta; Magnoliopsida; Brassicales; Brassicaceae.
GGCUUAGAUGAUGGGUCUUA